UACAGAGGGUGCAAGCGUUAAUCGGAAUUACUGGGCGUAAAGCGCUCGUAGGCGGGUACCUAAGUCGAUUGUGAAAGCCCUGGGCUUAACCUGGGAACUGCAGUCGAUACUGGGUAUCUAGAGUAUGAUAGAGGAUAGUGGAAUUCCCGGUGUAGCAGUGAAAUGCGUAGAUAUCGGGAGGAACACCAGUGGCGAAGGCGACUUUCUGGAUCAAUACUGACGCUGAGGAGCGAAAGCGUGGGGAGCAAACAGG
RNAcentral lists this ribosomal RNA (253 nucleotides) under uncultured bacterium. RNAcentral's name for it is "partial 16S ribosomal RNA". It matches the Rfam family "Bacterial small subunit ribosomal RNA", at positions 524 to 776 of the family's 1533-position model. The record is from RNAcentral.